RNAcentral lists this ribosomal RNA (385 nucleotides) under uncultured bacterium. Its description in RNAcentral is "bacterial SSU rRNA". It matches the Rfam family "Bacterial small subunit ribosomal RNA", at positions 30 to 416 of the family's 1533-position model. The record is from RNAcentral.
AUUGAACGCUGGCGGCAUGCCUUACACAUGCAAGUCGAACGGCAGCGCGGGGCAACCUGGCGGCGAGUGGCGAACGGGUGAGUAAUAUAUCGGAACAUACCCUAGAGUGGGGGAUAACGUAGCGAAAGUUACGCUAAUACCGCAUACGCACUAAGGUGGAAAGUGGGGGAUUCGCAAGAACCUCAUGCUCAUGGAGUGGCCGAUAUCUGAUUAGCUAGUUGGUGAGGUAAAGGCUCACCAAGGCGACGAUCAGUAGCUGGUUUGAGAGAACGACCAGCCACACUGGAACUGAGACACGGUCCAGACUCCUACGGAGGCAGCAGUGGGGAAUUUUGGACAAUGGGGGCAACCCUGAUCCAGCAAUGCCGCGUGAGUGAAGAAGGCC